This 390-nucleotide ribosomal RNA is filed under the name symbiont type-X of Acyrthosiphon pisum. Its description in RNAcentral is "bacterial SSU rRNA". It matches the Rfam family "Bacterial small subunit ribosomal RNA", at positions 15 to 399 of the family's 1533-position model. Lineage: Bacteria; Pseudomonadati; Pseudomonadota; Gammaproteobacteria; Enterobacterales; Enterobacteriaceae. The record is from RNAcentral.
GAUCAUGGCUCAGAUUGAACGCUGGCGGCAGGCCUAACACAUGCAAGUCGNGNGGCAUCGGGAAGGUAGCUUGCUAUCUUUGCCGGCGAGCGGCGGACGGGUGAGUAAAGUCUGGGGAUCUGCCUGAUGGAGGGGGAUAACUACUGGAAACGGUAGCUAAUACCGCAUGAUGUUACGCGACCAAAGCGGGGGACCUCCGGGCCUCGCGCCAUCAGAUGAACCCAGAUGGGAUUAGCUAGUAGGAGAGGUAAUGGCUCCCCUAGGCGACGAUCCCUAGCUGGUCUGAGAGGAUAACCAGCCACACUGGAACUGAGAGACGGUCCAGACUCCUACGGGAGGCAGCAGUGGGGAAUAUUGCACAAUGGGCGCAAGCCUGAUGCAGCCAUGCCG